UACGAAGGGGGCUAGCGUUGUUCGGAAUUACUGGGCGUAAAGCGCGCGCAGGCGGUUUUCCAAGUCAGGGGUGAAAGCCCGGAGCUCAACUCCGGAAAUGCCAUUGAAACUGCAAAACUUGAGUACGAGAGAGGUGAGUGGAAUUCCCAGUGUAGAGGUAAAAUUCGUAGAUAUUGGGAAGAACACCGGUGGCGAAGGCGGCUCACUGGCUCGUAACUGACGCUCAGGCGCGAUAGCGUGGGGAUCAAACAGG
RNAcentral lists this ribosomal RNA (253 nucleotides) under uncultured bacterium. Its description in RNAcentral is "partial 16S ribosomal RNA". It matches the Rfam family "Bacterial small subunit ribosomal RNA", at positions 524 to 776 of the family's 1533-position model. The record is from RNAcentral.